Boleophthalmus pectinirostris (great blue-spotted mudskipper) is the source of this 305-nucleotide long non-coding RNA. RefSeq lists it as uncharacterized. The transcript has 3 exons. NCBI's taxonomy places the organism in Eukaryota, Metazoa, Chordata, Actinopteri, Gobiiformes, Gobiidae. The record is from RefSeq and is a predicted model, not a curated record.
AUAAAGAAAUAUGAUCUAUUCAAGCCGUGGGUCGCUGGAGCAGUUUCACGUGAUGGGAUUUUGCCGGAAUUACCUCGCUGCCGGCUUCCGGGAAGAUUUUCCGUCCGUCCGGCUCUGCGGACUCAAGGAGAGAAAGAAAAAGUGCUUGUCAGACUAGCAACACUUGGACCUGAGAAGUGGUCAUUAUCUGUACAAAGGUCCACGUCUGCCUCCACAUGCAGACCUCAAUGAAAUGAAUAAAGCACCACAGCCUAUAACGGGACCCCCCACCACCCCCACCCUGCCCCCUCCCCCGGCCUCUCUCA